This is a long non-coding RNA of Octopus bimaculoides (California two-spot octopus), 1037 nucleotides long. Lineage: Eukaryota; Metazoa; Mollusca; Cephalopoda; Octopoda; Octopodidae. The record is from RefSeq and is a predicted model, not a curated record.
GAAUGGCUUAUUGAGUCCCUUGAAUUUCCACCUCAGCUAAGUCAGAAUUUAAAGUGCAGAAUAGUUAUAUUGUAAACAUUUGACAGUAUACACACUCUGUGUGUGUGUGUGUGUAAGUAUAACUAUCUACACGUACACACAUACAAACAUCUGCUGAUGCUUACUGUUGUCAGAUGAUUACAGUUUGUGCCUGUAUGAGAUGAACUGUCGGAAACCUAACAAGAGUUAGAUAAAACGUGGAUCCAAUGAUGAAUGCAAAGUAUUGCUGAUUGAUGCCUGAUAACCAUAAGUGGUGAAUGUGCUCUGCAGACACACUGCUUUGGACUUAGCCUGAAACAAGAUUCUGCUAAGAGAGUGAAAUCAUCAGAAUACAAUAGUUUCCAGGGGCAGAUGGUUUUAAACUCUUCUGUUAUGAAGGACAAUGAUGUAUAGGAAAGAGCUGAGAACUGAGCCCUAAUGUAUGACUGCCUGCACACUAAAUUUAUUACAGUACUGAUGGCUCUUACCUUACUGAUAGCAUUCAUGUACACAGCCGGAACAACUUCCACAAGCCAUUCCUCUAUUCAUAACAUCCUCAAAGACCACCAUAGCACAGAGCAAAAUACUCUGCUGAAAGCUUUCCCCAGGUCAACAAAUGCCAAGUACAAUGGUUUAUUCUGAGCUAAAUAAUUAUGCAGUUGCCUGACUUAAUCCAAUCACACACCAUGAGGUAAUCUUGAUUACCUUAUCCACUCACUUCUCUGCCACAAGUACACCUGCAUCACAUACCUCAUCACCACUCUCUACCCUGAAGAAUUUUCAUCUAUAUUCCUUGGCAAUGAGCAAUCUAGCUGAGGCUCUCUGCCAUCAAAUCUCUUGCACACAGCUACACUUCUCUACUCAAGAAUUUCAACAUUCUCACCAGAUGUAUGUAUGUGUGUAUGUGUGUAUGUGUGUAUGUGUGCAUGUAUGUAUGUAUGUAUGUAUGUAUGUAUGUAUGUGUGUGUGUAUGUAUGUGUGUAUGUAUGUAUGUGUGUAUGUAUGUGCAUAUGUGUUUG